Molecule: long non-coding RNA, 845 nt
Organism: Crotalus tigris (Tiger rattlesnake)
Lineage: Eukaryota; Metazoa; Chordata; Lepidosauria; Squamata; Viperidae
Exons: 2
Source: RefSeq, a predicted model, not a curated record
ACUGGAGCUGGAUGAUGGCUUUUCACACUACAAUGUCAGUUAAUUUACUAAUUCCACGGUGCUGAUUCUUUUUCUCCAAAACAUAAUCCUCUCAGUACUGGUUUAUGAAUCGGAAUUUAACUUGUUUGGAUAUGCAUUACUGCGAUGUGGGAGCCCAACCCCAUCACUUCUGCUCUAUAGAUUUCUUUUUUUCAAGUCUGUCCCCAUUUCUGUCUUGUCUAUACGCGGAAAACACUUCGUGCAUCCCAUAAAAUCCGAAUCAAAAGUGAAAAUAGCCCAACGUCCCCCGCAGGAAUCCCCCGCAGCCCUUCCCGGCAGCGCCAAGUCUCUUCGGGUCCCUCCAACUUCAAAGAAAAGCGCUCUGGUCUGCUCAGAGGCCCCCAUCGCGGACCGAGCUCCUCAACCGCAUCCAGCGCCGACGGGGAAGCUAUAGAAGCGCGGGCGGUGGCCACGUGACUAUUUGGGGAAGAUUAUCCCAAGACCGUCCAAAGUUUGAAAAGUGAGUGGGUGCAGUUGGCGGCUCUCUUUCAUGCCUCUAGUUCAGUGAUGGCGAACCUUUUAGAGACCGAGUGCCUAAACUGCAACCCAAAACCCACUUAUGCAUCGAGUGCCGGCUAUCCAUUUCAUGUUUGAGGCCUGGAGAAUCACAUAUUCACAAGGAACGUUUGCUAUAGAAGACUGUCUGUGGAACCCAAAGAAAUAGCAAAUAACAUGACAAAUAGAAAACUAGAAGUGAAUUUUGUAUCACGUAUUGCAUUUUUUUCAUUGUUUUAUUUACCUGUAAAAUGAACUAUGAGGAAUGUGUACUUCUAACCCCGAGAGACAAAUAUAUAGAUGUCUUAAGA